This 1107-nucleotide long non-coding RNA is filed under the name Mytilus galloprovincialis (Mediterranean mussel). Lineage: Eukaryota; Metazoa; Mollusca; Bivalvia; Mytilida; Mytilidae. The record is from RNAcentral.
GUGUGGAUGGACGAACAUGUAACUUUCGUAAAAAAUGCAAAAGAACUGGCCAAAGCAGCGAGCCGUGCUUUGGGUGCUUUAAUUACAAAAACUCAAUCCAUGGGAGGGAUGACUUUUAAAGUGUACAAUAAACUGUAUACGUCCGUUGUUGAACCAAUUUUACUUUAUGGUAGUGGUAUCUGGGGCACAAAAUCGUUCAGUGCCAUAUCAGCAGUACAAAACCGAGCAUGUAAAUUUUUCUUAUCGGUGGGAAAGCGCACAUCGAACGUAGCUUACGCGGUGAUAUGGGAUGGACUUCACCAAUAACAAAACAACGAAUAAAUUAUUGUAGACUUUUGUGCAAAUUGAUCCGUACUGACCAACAAAGAAUUUCCUACAAAACUUUUAAAUGGACGUCUAGAAGAAGAAAGGGUUGGUCAUUUGAAGUGCAUAAGAUUGUUGAUCGGAUCAGACUAAAGGAUCCGACGUAUGACUUAACAUUAUCGACUAAAUCAGUUAUGCAUAUGAUAAGUGAAAAACUAUGUGAGCUGGACAACACAGAAUGGUAUGAAGAACUUUUUGAUGACCGUCGUAAUAUAAAAAACGGAAACAAAUUGCGCACUUACAGAUGUUAUAAACAAUGUGUGAAAACAGAACCUUAUGUGCUUUUAAACAUUUCUAAACAGGAAAGGCGUGUUAUGGCUCUGUUUCGCUCCGGGGCUCUACCGCUAGCGCACGAAACUGGCAGAUACUCCAGGCCGCCUACACCCGUAGAAGAUAGACUUUGUUUGUUUUGUGAAAGUUGCAGUGUAGAGACUGAAAAACAUUUUCUGAUGGAAUGCGCACUUUAUGACGAUAUUCGGUAUAACCUUUUUCAUGAAUGUUCAAAAUUAAUUCAAAAUUUUAACAGCCUUGAUAUAGAUAAUAAAUUUAUUGAAAUUAUGAACUGUUAUGAUAUACAAUAUUUCCUAUGCAAAUUUUUAUAUAAAUUUUUCUGGCGAAGAAAAUUGUUUAACAGCUCUUUAUGAAAUUUUUACUAGCUUCAGAGUUUUAUCAUUUUAAUUUUAUCAGGAAAGUCAGAUUUCGACAAUUUUUAUAUAUAUAUAUUUAUUGAAUUUAGUGAUUUUU